Amphiprion ocellaris (clown anemonefish) is the source of this 1962-nucleotide long non-coding RNA. RefSeq lists it as uncharacterized. The record is from RefSeq and is a predicted model, not a curated record. The transcript has 6 exons. Lineage: Eukaryota; Metazoa; Chordata; Actinopteri; Pomacentridae.
CCUGUGGAGCCUCGUGCUCCGGCAGCGGGUCCAAGUAGUCCAAAGUGGGUGAGGAACCUGCGGGCCCUCAUGGAGGAGUGCAACAGGCGGCGUGGCGGCCUGACAGGUAAGAGAGGUGCUGGGCCUCCAGCAGGCCAACCUCCAGGUAAGAGGUCUCCCACUUAGACUCUUACAUUUAAUAUAAUUUCAUUCUAGUCUUUAGGUUUUUAAGUUUUACUGAAUGUGAUUCAUGUUGGAUGUGAUCUGACCAGAUUUUAUUUGAAUGAUCCUGUUGUGAUGAUGUCUGGUUGAUCUAUUCCAACUUUAUUUGAAUAGAUUUUAUUUUAUUCUACUUUAUGUAUUUUCUCUUUGUAUAGUGUGAUUUAUGUUGGAUGUGAUUUGAUCAGACUUUAUUUGAAUGAUCCUGUUGUGAUGAUGUCUGGUUGAUCUAUUCUGACUUUAUUUGAAUCAUUUUUUUCUGGUUUUAUUGUACAUAGUUCGUUUGCACACUGUGAUUUAUGUUGGAUGUGAUCUGACCAGAUUUUAUUUGAAUGAUCCUGUUGUGAUGAUGUCUGGUUGAUCUAUUCCAACUUUAUUUGAAUGAAUUUAAAUGUAUUAUCUACUGUUUGUGGCCCUGUGAUGGACUGGCGAGCUGUCCAGGGUGUCUCUGCCUUCGCCAGGAGUCGACUAGGAAAGACUCCAGCCCCACAUGACCCUACAGAGGAUCAAGUGGAGUGUAGAGGAUGGAUGGAUGGAUGGAUGGAUGGAUGGAUGGAUGGAUGGAUGGAUGGAUGGAUGGAUGGAUGGAUGGAUGGAUGGAUGUGCUCUGUGUGAUUCCAGCUGAACUCUGUCCUUGUCAGUGGGACUCAGGUCAGGGUGUCUUUCAGUGGUGUGGGUGGAUGUGGGGGGAAUAGCGCCCUCACAGUGAAGCUGUAUCAGUUGUAAUAUGUGUGUCUGCAUCCCACCCUGGACCCACAGUGGAGUCCACAGUGACAAGGACCAGAGUUCAGUGGAAGCACACUGGGAGGGGGGAGGAAGAUUUCACGGGCCGCUGCACAGCGGUGGCCCGUGACAAGGUGAGUUUCAGGUUUACAUUUUAUAUUCAUAACACAAGAAGUUUUUAAAUCUUCAAUAGGAGGUGAUAAAUGUUCUGACAUGUUCUCCUGUUGUUUUUUUCUGCUCCAGGUCCCAGCUCCAGCAGACCCAUGAAGAUGACCAACCGAGCCCACCAGAGACGACCCCAGAGACUACAACCAGACGACAGGACAACUUUCUAAAGAGCAGAAUGCACUGGAUGGAACAUCGAGGAGAGAAAAGAUGUUAAGAAGAAAAGGAUGAUGGGAACCAGAUCCAGGACCAGUGCAUGAGAUGUGAGACCACAAAACUAAAACAAGAGCUCUCUCUGCAAGACACCCAGUAAAAUGAAGGAUCAGAUCAGGACAAGAGACUGGACAAGAGCAGCCCCAGCAUGUGAAUACAGACUAUGGAAGAGGGGAUGCUUGUUAUAGUGACACAAAAGGAGGAAGUCAGUGUACAAAGAGAAAAUCCCACACAGUCAGAGAACAUGAAGAGGAAGAAGCAGAUGAGCAGCAGAAUCUAAGAAGACAAAGAAGCAGUUGGAGGAGCCUCCAGACGAUUAGCAACAGAAGAAACGUGUCCCAGAACAGGAAGAAGAAGACCAACAUCAAAGAGAGAAGAAGAAGAAACAGACCCAAGAAGAAGAAAAAAGAAAGAAAAGCUCCAGAUUACUCCAAAGGUCCUCUCUGCAGGUGUUUCUGGAUCUGGAGCUACACGUUUAGAUCUGCUUUUACUGGCCUCACCAACCUGCAGAGUUCAUGUUCUCUCCCUCCUCUGUACCCUCAUCCCAAACGGAGGUUUUUUUUUCAACUUCCUGGCAACAGGAAGUUUUUUUUCCUCCACGCUGCUACCAAAUGCUUGAUCUGAUCCAAAUGCAAUCAGAGAGAGUCUUAAAUAAAAAGUCAA